AACGAACGCUGGCGGCAUGCCUAACACAUGCAAGUCGAACGAGACCUUCGGGUCUAGUGGCGCACGGGUGCGUAACGCGUGGGAACCUGCCCUUAGGUUCGGAAUAACUCCCCGAAAGGGGUGCUAAUACCGGAUAAUGUCUUCGGACCAAAGCUUUAUCGCCUUUGGAUGGGCCCGCGUUGGAUUAGCUAGUUGGUAGGGUAAAAGCCUACCAAGGCGACGAUCCAUAGCUGGUCUGAGAGGAUGAUCAGCCACACUGGGACUGAGACACGGCCCAGACGCCUACGAGAGGCAGCAGUGAGGAAUAUUGGAGAAUGGGCGAGAGCCUGAUCCAGCAAGGCCGCGUGAGUGAUGAAGGCCUUAGGGUUGUAAAGCUCUUUUGCCCGGGAUGAUAAUGACAGUACCGGGAGAAUAAGCACCGGCUAACUCCGUG
RNAcentral lists this ribosomal RNA (433 nucleotides) under uncultured bacterium. Its description in RNAcentral is "partial 16S ribosomal RNA". It matches the Rfam family "Bacterial small subunit ribosomal RNA", at positions 29 to 507 of the family's 1533-position model. The record is from RNAcentral.